RNAcentral lists this transfer RNA (84 nucleotides) under Ruminococcaceae bacterium KH2T8. It matches the Rfam family "tRNA". From Rfam's summary of the family: Transfer RNA (tRNA) molecules are approximately 80 nucleotides in length. Their secondary structure includes four short double-helical elements and three loops (D, anti-codon, and T loops). Lineage: Bacteria; Bacillati; Bacillota; Clostridia; Eubacteriales; Oscillospiraceae. The record is from Rfam by way of RNAcentral.
GCGGAUGUGGUGGAAUUGGCAGACGCGCUAGCUUCAGGUGCUAGUGGUUUCACGACCGUGCGGGUUCAAGUCCCGCCAUCCGCA